GAGGUCGCCGCUUUCCCCUGUCUCCUUUCCUUUUUCUCAGAUCCACCAGAUGUUGAGCUCCUCCUCACAGCGGGGUGGGGCUACAGCAGCACCACCACCAGCACCACCACCGCUGCAUGAAGCUCCUUCUCGUUUUCUUCCCCCGUGUUGUUACCCUGUAGCCAUGUCCGACUAGUUCGACAGCGAGAUGCGCCCCCGCGGAUGCCGACCCGUGAUGCUGCAUCUAUGGCAUGGCAGAGCUGGUACCAGUGGGUUACGGUGCUGGAACCAGCGGCCAUGGCUUUUGCAUCAAAUUGAGAAGAUUGUGGCGUCGUCGCGGCCAUGAAUGUUUGCUACAUCGAAUUUUUGCUGGAACCUCUGUUGAUUUUUGCUAGAACCACUUCUUUUUCUGCCGGAACCUUCUUUUGAUUUUACUGCAAAUUGGAGGGUGGCAUUGUCUGCGUCAUGAAUUUUCACUACAUCAAAUUUUUGCUGGAACCUCUGUUUACUUUUGCUGGAACUAGCAUUUGAAUUUGCUACAUAGACUACGAUGAUUUUUGUUUUGCUAGAUGCGAUGUUAAUUUUUGCUGGAACCGGCUUCUUUUUUUGCUGCAGCCAUCUACGAGACUUUUGUUUGCUGGAGCAUAGUGGUGCAAGCCGACGACGGCAGCAAGCCGAAGACGCGGGUUUUUUUGCUGGAACCAGCAUAAUGUUUUGCUGGAUGCGAUGUUAAUUUUUGCUGGAACCGGCUUCAUUUUUUGCUGCAGCCAUCUACGGGACUUUUCUUUGCUGGAGCACAGUGGUGCAAGCCGACGACGGCAGCAAGCCGAAGACGGUGAUUUUUGCUGGAACCGGCAUAAUGUUUUGCUGGAAUAGGCUAAUUUUUUGCUUCAACAACUACUGGACUAUUUGUUGCUGAAUUUUGUUGUGCUGGAUUUGGCAUUAAAUUUUGCUGGAACCGACUUCUAUUUUUGCUUCAACCAUUUACUGGAGUUUUUGUUUGAUGAAGUACGGUGAUGCAAGUCGAUGGCGGCGAGCCGGAGAUGGUGACCAACGGCGACGGAGUUGCCAUUCAACUUGUUUUGUCCCCUUCGACCGAUGUGUAGAAUUGCUGCAAUUGGCAUCCAGUAGGGGCGGAUCUGAACCGGCGAGCGGGCGGAGCUGCAUCCAAAAAAGCGGCAACGGGAGAUGGGACGGUGACCGCCGGCGAGUUAUAGCGAGCUCGGGCGGCAUCUCUGCUACGACCGCUGGGGAGGAGGUAGCGCUGGGUUGCUUGCGCAAUUUUCACGCGAUGUACUACCCAUGAGGCUGAGUCGUGUGGGGCAGAGGCGGGGAUUUUUUCUGGGAUGCGUUGACUAGGACGAAGAAAACAAAUCGAGGUGGGAGAGGCCAGAUCGGACGAUUCCUGGAGGCCAAAUCAAACGAUUAGGGCUCGUUCGGCCCAACAAUUAAGUCGGUGCGCCGGUGCAGAUCAGUGCCCAUUAAGCAAACAUCGUUAAUGAUGGAAGCUAACAGCGAUUGACCAAUAUUAUCUCCAAAAAGUGUGGGGCCUCACAACAAUCACGGAAGCAACAACCAGAAGCACUUGGUAGGAAGCAAAUCGAGUAAUUAAUGAGAAUUAACUGCUUUGAGGCCAUGCACGCACUAGUAGUGGGACUAGCUUUAGAAUCAAAUCAGAGCCCUCCAACCAAAUCAGAUUGAACGGCCACUGCCUGGUCUGAUGGAACGACAAGGAUCAGUAGUCUGAUCCCUAGUGGUUCCCUUUACUUUAUCCCUAUGUGUUAGGAGUAGUCGUAGAACCAAUAGUUGGUAAAGACAAUCACAUGAAGGUACGAUGAUGGAGAUCAUG
This 1828-nucleotide long non-coding RNA is filed under the name Triticum aestivum (bread wheat). Its description in RNAcentral is "long non-coding RNA (TAES_LNC001631)". The record is from RNAcentral. Lineage: Eukaryota; Viridiplantae; Streptophyta; Magnoliopsida; Poales; Poaceae.